Molecule: long non-coding RNA, 1141 nt
Filed under: Anas platyrhynchos platyrhynchos (common mallard)
Lineage: Eukaryota; Metazoa; Chordata; Aves; Anseriformes; Anatidae
Description: lncRNA (ENSAPLG00000023218.1)
Source: RNAcentral
AUGCAAUCCAAGCAACUUCACCUUUCUGAGAAAAUAAACAUCCCUUGGACUUGCAAACCUGGCAGGAUGGGGGAAAAGCCUGCCUGGCUUUUGGCUACAUGUAUCUUUUGUGGGGCAGCUGGCCGUAAUUCAUCCCCGAGCGCUAUCCAUCACCUCAGCUGGCUGCUAAUAGUGAGGAUGUGUGCGUGUGGCAGGGGCACAGGCAAGCUGCAAGGGGCUCCCUCUCCCCUUGUGGGGCCUUGGAGAUGCCGUCUGCAUGGCAGCUGCCACCCCCCUGUGCUGCUGCCCCCCACCGUGGUGGUCCCCUCCUGCUCCUCGUGGCACAUCUGCUCCGCUUCUGACGUCUCCCCGUUGUGGAUUUCACAAUCUCCUGCUUCAGGCAGCAAGCAACACGGGAGAGACUCUCAAGGGCACAUCGAGCUCUCGAUUCCCAGUCAAUAAAAGCCGGAGCUGCACGUGCCAGUGACAAGUGUCCCAGGAAGAGGCAGGGGACAGCUGUCUUCUAAAUUGCAUUAAGCAGGUGAAAGAUGUCACUGCUCUUCACGGUUGUUCAUCCAUCCCACUUUCAGCCGCAUGAGCUCCCUUGCACCAGGCAGAGCCAAAAGCUUUGCCCAAAAUGCCUGCUGUGAAGCUGCGUAGAAGAUGCUCAGCUCCCUGGUGCUGGCAGAGCAGUGAAGGAGAGGGACCGAAGUCCAAGGGAUGACAAGUUUCACUGAGCCUGGCUGUGUGCAAAUGAGCGUCCAUCUGCUUGGAGCUGUGGCAGCUGCAGAGGAGCUACUGCUGAUGGCUUCUCGGGAAAGCCUUCUUCCCCCCCACCUAUUUUGGGUAACAAUUUUCUGUCGGUUUUCUGCGGAUGUUUUCCACUCCCAGAAUGCUGACUUGUCAACAUUUAGAUGGUUAGAAAAAGUCUUUUUCCACAAAUUAAGCUGAGGAGGCAUUUUUUUUUUGCUCUAAAAUAAUGGGAAAUUUAAAGAACAAAUACCCAUUUUCCCACAUGAAACAGGGAAAAUGAUUCUUGUGAGCUAACUCUACUGAGCAGCCUACAUUAACUCUCCCAACGUGUGACCCAAAGCACUCCUCAGCAGUCCUUUAAGGACUUUAGGUCUAGCUUAAGCUAGAAUAAAGCUUAUAGCACGUAACA